Molecule: ribosomal RNA, 123 nt
Filed under: Infundiburictus arrhichostoma
Lineage: Eukaryota; Metazoa; Platyhelminthes; Trematoda; Plagiorchiida; Monorchiidae
Description: partial 5.8S ribosomal RNA
Rfam family: 5.8S ribosomal RNA
About the family: 5.8S ribosomal RNA (5.8S rRNA) is a component of the large subunit of the eukaryotic ribosome. It is transcribed by RNA polymerase I as part of the 45S precursor that also contains 18S and 28S rRNA.
Source: RNAcentral
UGUCGAUGAAGAGCGCAGCCAACUGUGUGAAUUAAUGUGAACUGCAUACUGCUUUGAACAUCGACAACUUGAACGCACAUUGCGGCCACGGGUUAGCCUGUGGCCACGUCCGUCCGAGGGUCG